UGUACAGUGUGUCAGUCAUUUGCAUUGUAUUCCCUUUACAAAAUUUGUGAUAAACUCGGCUUUUAAAAGCUUUUGAGGCUGAGCGCAAAUUACAAUCCAAUAUGCGAUAUUACACAACUCCUGACCAUCUUCUUUCCUCUGUUUUCGGUUUCCUCUUGAGGACAGCAUGCAGCAGUUCAGGUGGGUGUGAACAGCACGCAGAGCUCCGCUUCUGGUGAAAUGAAACCGAAAGCGCCCCAGUCUGUACGAGCCAGCGGCUCCGUCCUUCUCUCAGUUGUCUAGCGAUCAUGGCAUCAAGCUCCGACAGUGCUGCUUUGGCUGAAGCCGUGCAGGUACUACAAUGAGGGUCACUGCACCAAAGGGAAGAAGUGCCCAUACCUGCACAUCUGCAAGUACUAUUUGAAGGGGGGCUGCAGGAACGGCUCCCAGUGUGAUCUCAAACACGCUGCUGCUUCGAGAUCAGAGUCCUCCUCAGACGAAGGUACUGGCCACCCCAUGCGCUCGAUCCUCCCAUCCGUAACACCCAGCAACUAACAUUGACCCUCUCAGAGCCUCAUAUUAAUAAACCUUAAAACUGCAGGUUGGUGUCGCUCUGAUGGGUUGACUUCAGUCUGCCCGUCAACUCUAUGGGGUUUAAAAAACAAAAAUCAUAGUGGUGCUCUAAUUCAGGAUGACUGGUGGUUUGAUUGUGCUUUUGGUAUUUCUGUUACACUCGCUUUGCUUUUUGAAUGAUCCUUCAAGGGGGCAGCUGGGCGUUACUGUAGAGCGAGCC
RNAcentral lists this long non-coding RNA (772 nucleotides) under Lepisosteus oculatus (spotted gar). Its description in RNAcentral is "lncRNA (ENSLOCG00000021202.1)". Lineage: Eukaryota; Metazoa; Chordata; Actinopteri; Semionotiformes; Lepisosteidae. The record is from RNAcentral.